RNAcentral lists this ribosomal RNA (253 nucleotides) under uncultured bacterium. RNAcentral's name for it is "partial 16S ribosomal RNA". It matches the Rfam family "Bacterial small subunit ribosomal RNA", at positions 524 to 776 of the family's 1533-position model. The record is from RNAcentral.
UACGGAGGAUCCAAGCGUUAUCCGGAUUUAUUGGGUUUAAAGGGUGCGUAGGCGGCCUUGUAAGUCAGGGGUGAAAGACGGUAGCUCAACUAUCGCAGUGCCCUUGAUACUGCAGGGCUUGAAUACACUAGAGGUAGGCGGAAUGUGGCAAGUAGCGGUGAAAUUCAUAGAUAUGCCGCAGAACACCGAUUGCGAAGGCAGCUUACUGGGGUGCAAUUGACGCUGAGGCACGAAAGCGUGGGGAUCAAACAGG